This 253-nucleotide ribosomal RNA is filed under the name uncultured bacterium. RNAcentral's name for it is "partial 16S ribosomal RNA". It matches the Rfam family "Bacterial small subunit ribosomal RNA", at positions 524 to 776 of the family's 1533-position model. The record is from RNAcentral.
UACGGGGGGGGCAAGCGUUGUUCGGAAUUACUGGGCGUAAAGGGCGCGUAGGCGGCCUUCUAAGUCGGACGUGAAAUCCCUCGGCUUAACCGAGGAACUGCGUCCGAUACUGAAAGGCUUGAAUCCGGGAGAGGGAUAUGGAAUUCCAGGUGUAGCGGUGAAAUGCGUAGAUAUCGAGAGGAACACCAGUGGCGAAGGCGAGUCCCUGGACAACACCUGACACUGAGGCACGAAAGCUAGGGGAGCAAACAGG